RNAcentral lists this unclassified non-coding RNA (21 nucleotides) under Mus musculus (house mouse). RNAcentral's name for it is "oocyte_clustered_small_RNA1031". The record is from RNAcentral. Lineage: Eukaryota; Metazoa; Chordata; Mammalia; Rodentia; Muridae.
UGUGCUCAAUAGCAGCAUUAC